CAUUUGCGCAAAAUUUUAGGUUUUGAUGUUUAGCAACAUAGCAUCAAAUUAAAAGGGAAUUCGGUUAAAUACCGAAGCUGUUCCCGCAACUGUAAGCUAUUAAGCUUGUAAUUAAUCUUUAAGUCACUGUUUAUUUAUAAAUGGGAAGACCAAUUACAAGACGCAAGCCAGGAGACCUGCCUAGAUUUUAAAUAAUUC
RNAcentral lists this non-coding RNA (198 nucleotides) under Tenacibaculum soleae. The record is from RNAcentral. Lineage: Bacteria; Pseudomonadati; Bacteroidota; Flavobacteriia; Flavobacteriales; Flavobacteriaceae.